CUGCGAAAAGCCACGGGGAGCCGUCUACUAGGCCCUGAUCCGUGGAUGUCCGAAUGGGGAAACCCAGCACCCGUCAUGGGGUGUUACCCCGGAGUGAAUACAUAGCUCCGGUGGAGGGAACGUGGGGAAUUGAAACAUCUCAGUACCCACAGGAAAGGAAAGCAACCGCGACUCCCUUAGUAGCGGCGAGCGAAGAGGGAAGAGGCUAAACCGUGUCAGUGCCAAGCCUGAUGGCGUUGCUGACGCGGGGUCGAGGGACCAAGAGACACAGCAUCAGAUGUGUCACGGAGUUACCAAGUUGCAGUGUAGGAGAACGGCUCUGGAAAGGCCGGCCGUAGUGGGUAACAGCCCCGUAUCCGAAACAUUCGCAGCCUCCGCUUGUCAUCCCAAGUAACGCCGGGACCGUGAAAACCGGCGUGAAUCCGUGGGGACCACCCCAUAAGCCUAAGUAUUCCUUGGCGACC
This 464-nucleotide ribosomal RNA is filed under the name uncultured bacterium. RNAcentral's name for it is "bacterial LSU rRNA". It matches the Rfam family "Bacterial large subunit ribosomal RNA", at positions 66 to 485 of the family's 2925-position model. The record is from RNAcentral.